AUGAACAAUUUGUACAUAAGAAGCUUUUGUACACACCAGAGAGAUAGAUCAAUGUCUCUUGAUCAUGUUUUCAUACAUUAUAUGAUGAGCCAGGAGUUGUACCGAUUAUUCGUCGCCUACCCAGCUUAUUUCCAAAUCCAAGGCCGAACCAUCUGCGAGUCACAUCGCGGAGCAAAGUGUCAUUCACCUCGCAGAACCUGUGCGGCCAACCAGCCGGCUCGACUGCCUCAAACCCUAAACCCGGGGUCCGGUCAUUGGAACGGAGGUUCUUCUUGUCGGUCCAAUCGACGGUGUAUGUCGAAGCUCGGCGGCGGAAUUUCACCUUGA
RNAcentral lists this ribosomal RNA (327 nucleotides) under Triticum aestivum (bread wheat). Its description in RNAcentral is "partial small subunit ribosomal RNA". Lineage: Eukaryota; Viridiplantae; Streptophyta; Magnoliopsida; Poales; Poaceae. The record is from RNAcentral.